This 23-nucleotide small nuclear RNA is filed under the name Arabidopsis thaliana (thale cress). RNAcentral's name for it is "snRNA_03536". Lineage: Eukaryota; Viridiplantae; Streptophyta; Magnoliopsida; Brassicales; Brassicaceae. The record is from RNAcentral.
UUCCAGCGUCUCCGCUUGGACCU